This 425-nucleotide ribosomal RNA is filed under the name uncultured bacterium. RNAcentral's name for it is "bacterial SSU rRNA". It matches the Rfam family "Bacterial small subunit ribosomal RNA", at positions 354 to 796 of the family's 1533-position model. The record is from RNAcentral.
GUGGGGAAUCUUAGACAAUGGGCGCAAGCCUGAUCUAGCCAUGCCGCGUGGGUGAUGAAGGCCUUAGGGUCGUAAAGCCCUUUCGCCGGGGAAGAUAAUGACGGUACCCGGUAAAGAAACCCCGGCUAACUCCGUGCCAGCAGCCGCGGUAAUACGGAGGGGGUUAGCGUUGUUCGGAAUGACUGGGCGUAAAGCGCGCGUAGGCGGAUCAUCAAGUCGGGGGUGAAAUCCCGGGGCUCAACCCCGGAAUGGCCUUCGAGACUGGUGGUCUUGAGUUCGAGAGAGGUGAGUGGAAUUCCGAGUGUAGAGGUGAAAUUCGUAGAUAUUCGGAGGAACACCAGUGGCGAAGGCGGCUCACUGGCUCGACACUGACGCUGAGGUGCGAAAGCGUGGGGAGCAAACAGGAUUAGAAACCCUAGUAGUCC